CAGGUCUUGACAUCCCACUGACCGGUUUAGAGAUAAGCCUUUCCCUUCGGGGACAGUGGUGACAGGUGGUGCAUGGUUGUCGUCAGCUCGUGUCGUGAGAUGUUGGGUUAAGUCCCGCAACGAGCGCAACCCUUGAUCUUAGUCGCCAGCAUUCAGUUGGGCACUCUAAGGUGACUGCCGGUGACAAACCGGAGGAAGGUGGGGAUGACGUCAAAUCAUCAUGCCCCUUAUGACCUGGGCUACACACGUGCUACAAUGGACGAUACAAAGGGCUGCAAACCCGCGAGGGGGAGCCAAUCCCAUAAAAUCGUUCUCAGUUCGGAUUGUAGGCUGCAACUCGCCUACAUGAAGCCGGAAUCGCUAGUAAUCGUGGAUCAGCAUGCCACGGUGAAUACGUUCCC
RNAcentral lists this ribosomal RNA (401 nucleotides) under uncultured bacterium. RNAcentral's name for it is "bacterial SSU rRNA". It matches the Rfam family "Bacterial small subunit ribosomal RNA", at positions 975 to 1375 of the family's 1533-position model. The record is from RNAcentral.